Molecule: long non-coding RNA, 1329 nt
Filed under: Homo sapiens (human)
Lineage: Eukaryota; Metazoa; Chordata; Mammalia; Primates; Hominidae
Description: HSALNT0286148
Source: RNAcentral
CUGCCGCCUUGCAGUUUGAUCUCAGACUGCUGUGCUAGCAAUCAGCGAGACUCCGUGGGCGUAGGACCCUCCGAGCCAGGGAUAUAUUCUCCCGGUGUGCCGUUUUUUAAGCCUGUCGGAAAAGCGCAGUAUUCGGGUGGGAGUGACCCGAUUUUGCGGUCUGUCACCCCUUUCUUUGACUAGGAAAGGGAACUCCCUGACCCCUUGCGCUUCCCGAGUGAGGCAAUGCCUCACCCUGCUUCCACACGGUGCGCGCACCCACUGACCUGCGCCCACUGUCUGGCACUCCCUAGUGAGAUGAACCCAGUACCUCAGAUGGAAAUGCAGAAAUCACCUGUCUUCUGCGUGGCUCACGCUGGGAGCUGUAGACCUGAGCUGUUCCUAUUCGGCCAUCUUGGCUCCUCCCCACCCUAGUCUGAAACAGAGGUCAACCCACACCUUGAUUUCAACUUGGCAAAACCUUAAGCAGAGGACUCAGCGAACAUGUGCUUGGACUUCUGAACUACAGAACUGUGAGAUAAUAAAUUGGUGUAAUUAUAAGUUGCUAAAUUUGUAGUCAUAUAUUAUCUGAAAUAGAAAACAAGUGCAAUCAUUUAGCACAUUAAUAAGUAUUUACUUUUAUUCAGGAAUUAUGUAACUUUAUUUAGUAUUUGCUUAGUAAUAAUUAUUGUGAGUUUUUGAGCAUGGGAACUAUGUCUUAUUAUCUUUUUUAUGCUCAAUCCCUAUCAGAAGUUGUGUAUUAAAUAAAUAUUUGUCAAACAAAUAAACAAAUGGUGCCUAGUUUCCUCUUGUUGCUUAGGGUCCCAUAAUAGAACUAACUACAUAAGUCCAAUUUCCCCAGGUAAUGUCCCAAGUCCUGAAUCUCUCCAUCCUGCUUUUUAACCUAUCCAAAUUUACCUGCUGGCUGAUUUUGGUUAUUAGAUACCAAUUUUGUGCGUUUCAUAUUAAUAUCUGCUGUUCUUUCUUAAUUAGAAACUGGAAAGAGAAUUAAACACUAAUGCCCUAAGACAUCUCUUUCAUGUAAUAAAACAACUUAUAUUCUGUGCAUCUAUAAUGGUUCUAGUUCCUUACCAACUUUGAAAAGAUUGAGAAAAAAUCCACUCAAAUUCUUUUUAGUCUUCUGUGUUUUAGAUGAGGAUAGGAUCAUCCUAAACGCGAAUGGCUUCAUGUGCCAUAUUUUUCAGUACCAGGUGAUAUGGUUAGGCUUUAUGUCCCCACCCAAACCUCAUCUUGAAUUGUAAUUCCCAUAAUCCGUACUUGUCUAGGGAGAUACCUGGUGGGAGGUGAUUGGAUCAUGGGGGCUGUUUUCCCCAUGCUGUUCUCAUGAUA